CAAGCAAGCAAGCAAGCAAGCAACCAACCAACCAACCAACCAAGCAACCAGCUAACUAAAUCUCAGGCUAAGCCCUUUUAUAAACAGGUAGGAUCCACCUCUGGCUUUUCUAUUGGUCUACCUAUUAACUCUUUCUCUCCCCCUGUACAGACAUUUUCAAAAUAACGGGCAAACGCCACAACCGUGUAAUAAUCACUCUCUCUAAUAGUGGACUCACUGUCCCUCAGCAGACGUCAGCGCAUGUACAAACAAAAGCUUAACUGAAUUGAAGUUUGGCACAGGAAAAGCAGGGUCAUAGCUAGGGGGUGGUAAGGUGGGCCCCCACCAGCAGUGCAGGCGAUUGGGGGGGCCACAAAAUCGGCUAAAAUAUAUGUCCAUAAAUAUAAAUAUUGAUUAUUGCCUCCUAAGAAAUGGUUUUUAAUAGAGGGUGAAUUGAAUGGAUGGAGGAGGGGAGUGUUGGAAGAGAGGUGGAAAGAAAGUUAAUUUGUCUGUGGCUAACGGGCGCAAUCUGGACAGUUCUGCCAGGGGCGCAAGAUCACCUAGCUACGGCUCUGAGGAAAAGAACUCUUUGGGUGAAGCCAUCUCUGCCCCAGCUCUGGAGUGAACAGUGACAGCGAAAAGUGACUUGGCAACACAGUGGAGGGAAUUGCCUUACUGCUAAUGUGAACAUAACCUGGGAGUGAGGGAAGUAAAAUGGUCUGUGUGAGCCAGUGACGAAGCUGCAUGCUCCAGCACUGGGGGGCGGAGAGCAGGUGGGGGCAUGGCGUGCAUUCUGGAGGUGUGGCAUGCUGCCACGGGGGUGUGGCGUGUGUCCUGGGGGCAUAGUGUCCGGCGCAGUGGGGGUGCACGGCGAGUGUCCAGGGGGGCGGCCGCGAUUUGUACCCCCCUCCCCAAUGGUGCUGGGGGUGGUGCGCUCCCCUCACCUCCCCCCCCGUUCCUCCGCCAUUGGUGUGAGCACCUUUCAGCACAUAAUGUUCUGGAGCAGGGCAGGACUGAAUAGGAACACGCUUCCUAGGAGGUGAGGACCCACUUGCUAGUUUCUUGCAGGCCCCACUUAUACUUCCCCCCAAUUGUGUUCUCAUGGAGGUGACUUAUACCAAAGGUUAAAGGCGGGGGAGAGUCACUCUUGGUUUCAUCAAAAUAAAUUACUCAGAAUUAAUAACUGAACGCAGGGAUAUGGGGUGGAAAAAAACGGAGCAUCGUGUCAGCCUGGAAGUUGUUUUCCUUGCCUGUGUCGCACAGUGCAGGUAAUAAAUCAUAAUUAGGCCAGGGGGCGGGGGGGGGACGACUAAUAGACUGUAAGGGCGAGAUUCAGAGAACCACAUGAAGCUGAGAAUCCCAAUGAGCAGGAGGAAGAGACAGUGGUGGAUAUAGGAGACUCAGGCAGCAGCUUUCUGCAACAUCUUCUGUUUCUGGCAUGCAAAGUAAUAGGAAGAUUUUCAGAAAAGGAGCAUGGUCCCUCUUCGGUGAUUUCUGACAGUGUUUCCAAAGACAUUUGCAGAGUUCUAUCAUUCUUCAUUGGUUGUGGAUUUUCUAUGCUGUAUGUGCUCCCCUCCUGGGCACGGUAUGCAUUGCGUAUAGGAAGCAUUGUUCCAGCAUAGUGGUGGCUCAUCUCCCCAUCCCCUGGUAUAACCUGUGAAUAUGAUUGUGCCAAGAAAUAUGUGCUUGAUCAGAAUUAAGUCUCCAGUAGCUGAGUGUUAAUGUUAUUUAUUUAAAUAAAAAAAUUGUCCAGUAGCACCUUAGAGACCAACUAAGUUUGUUCUGGGUAUAAGCUUUCGUGUGCAUGCACACUUCUUCAGAUACGAAAGCUUAUACCUAGAACAAACUUAGUUGGUCUCUAAGGUGCUACUGGACAAUUUUAUUUAAUUAUUUAUUUCGACUGUGUGAGACCAACACGGCUACCUACCUGAAUCUGUUAUUUAUUUAUUCAUUUAUAAUUCAAAGGCUAGUGAGGUGCAAAACCAGCUUAAAGCUUAGAAAUACAUUCCAAUUAUAUAUAUAUAUAUAUAUAUAUAUAUAUAUAUAUAUAUAUACACACACACACACACACACACACACAUACAUACAUUUUUUUUAGCAUAGGCCUGACCACAGCAUGAUCCACUAAUGUGAGCAGAGCUCAUUAUUCAGGAUUUGGCCGCACAUUUAAUGGUUUGAUAAACCUAUAGCCAUGGCCUUCUUCCUGUUAACUCCUCCAGACAGCCUAUUUAACUGAGAAUUCAUCAUAAUCUGCUUGGACAAAGUUUAUAGGGAGGUUAGGCUAUAUCUGUUCUUUGUUUGUGGGGAGAUUAUAUGAUAAUGAACGUUCAUCCUGAUUUGCUUCCAUGUUGUUUACACAGUUUCCCUGCCCCAUUAUUCAUUUACCUCACACUUUUCAGUACUUUCUCCCAUCGCUUUCCUGACUUCAAAAAGCCAUUUCAAAAUAAACAAACAAGCAUUGAGUAACGCUUGCAAUGUACUAAAAAUUAUGGUAAAAAUAGAUUAUUUAAGAAAAAUAGAGAAAAUAAGAGAAGCAGUUGAAGAAAGAUUGAUAGUGGUAACCAUGGAAGAGCAGAGGGGAGUCAAAGGUUUCAGGGAAUCCCAAAUGAUGAUGUUGAUGUUUAAUGAUUGAAUUUAAAUUUGCAAUGUAAAACUUAAUAAAAAAGAUUUGACAAAACAAGCAAGCAAGCAAACCUUAAUUUGUUGCACCAAGGUGACAGAGAGCCCUAAUCCACUUUAAUUGUGCAAAGCUAAAGUUAUGGCUUGCUCCUGAAUCCCUCCCACAAAAUACUGACAGCGGGACCUGGGACUGCAUUCACCAAGCCACAAUACCUGGCUGUGUUCGCACGCACGGCACAGCAGCAGAAGCUUAUCAUUUGGAUCCUGCAUUUAUGAACACGUCAAAGCGGCACAUUUUCAAGAAUGCUUGGGAUUUAAUGAAACGGAGGGGGCCCACUCAGCAAAGUUCUCUAGUGACCCUCUUCAGCGCUUCUAAAUGCUCAGCAAUGUAGAAUCCCAGCAUGCACCUUGCAGCUCAGGACCUGGGACAUUUCUGACAUGACAGCUGGCGCAUCUGCUGUAGCACCAAGGGGAAAGAGGGACCGUGUUUCACCGCUCUGCCUCCAAACCAAGCUGUCACUCUUGCUUUCCAGGAAUAGGAACUGGCAGGCAGGGCUUCGUUUUCUAAUGUAACGAUUGCUCCGCAAACGCACAGCAGGCACGGAAGGGGUGACCAGUGGGAGCGGGCAAGGAGCAAAGUGGCCAGCAGAAUACUGAGUGGGCUUGUCGUAAUUGCCAGUGCCACUCAUGUGACUAACGAACCCAGAACUGGGGGGGCGAGGGCAGUGUGGUGGAAGGAGGAGGAGGAGGAGAAGAAGAAAGGUGAUCCUGUCGCUGAACUGAUGGUAAUAAAGCAGCUGAAAAAUGCAUGAACAGAAUAAAUGCCUCUCCCUAUAGCAAAAGAGAAAUAUGAGUGAAGCUGAGCACAAUCAAAGAGAUGCUAGAUGGGCAGUAGUAGGGAGGCUGGAGGAAAGGAGCAAGAGGAAACAAAAGGAGAGAGAAAAUGUGUUUUUGUUUAUGUUUUUAUGCUGCCUCAUUCCAAGGGAUAUGAAAGACCACUUUUCUGUAAAAAUGUGGCAAGACACACAUUAUGCUAACAUCUUUUCUCCCCCCCCCCCCUUUGUUUGCUCAAUUCUGAUUACAGAGCAGCAGGCUGCUUAUAUAUAUACCAUCCUCAUUCUAAUGUUAUUCCCGAUGGAGAAAUUCAUACUCGAGUGAAAAAAACAACACACACACCCAUUAUAUAACAUAGGAAUAGCUAUAGAAGGAAAUAUUUUGAUAUCUUCAACCACCUUCUUUUUUGUAUAUGAGUAGGCAUUCAUGGGACCACGCCCACAAAAGAUCAUAUGUGUGUUUCCAAAUUACAGCCUUUCCAGACAAUGAAAAUAUAGAAAUAAAAUCACCCAGCUCAAAUAUUAACAGCACACAACACAUAGAUACUUUGCUGUGGUGGUGUGUGCUUGCUGGUGUGUGUGUAGUGAAUUUACUGAUAUUCCCCGGGAAACAAUUAAAUGUGGUAGAUGUGGACAGUUCCACUGGAAAGGAGAAGGACAAAAAUCUGGAAUACAGUGGUACCUCGCAAGACGAAUGCCUCGCAAGACGAAAAACUCGCAAGACGAAUGCCUCGCAAGACGAAAAACUCGCAAGACGAAAGAGUUUUUCGUUUUUUGAGUUGCUUCGCAAGACGAAUUUCCCUAUGGGCUUGCUUCGCAAGACGAAAAACGAAAAAAACGAAAACGUCUUGCAAGUUUGUUUCCUUUUUCUUAAAACCGUUAAUACCCAGGGUGACUUUGAGGAGCAACUCAUAGCACGCGGUGUGGUAGCCUUUUUUGAGGUUUUUGAAGACUUUGGUGAUUUUGAAGACUUUGGGAAACCGUGCUUCGCAAGACGAAAAAUUCGCAAGACGAAAAAACUCGCAGAACGAAUUAAUUUCGUCUUGCGAGGCACCACUGUAAAAGGGAAGGAAGGUGAAGCAGAAGGAAGGAAGGAAGGAAGGAAGGAAGGAAGGGGAAAUUAGUACUGGCUUGCAAAAGAAGAGGACGUCAGAGCCAGCUUACCCAUGACACAAGGUGAAGCACCCACCUCAGAUUGCAGAAGUGCACUGCUUUCACUACUGAGAGGGAGAAAAGCCUAGUGAGUGGCAACACUUGGAGGAGCACUCUGGCUCCUACCAUGUUCAGCAAAAGGGGGGAGACGUUCCUGCACACUGGCUGUUGCUCAGCUCCCCACCCCCCACCCCAUGGUUGCCCAAAGGGAAUGUGGCUCUUAGACUGAAAAAGGCUCUCUACAAUUACUGCACUGGGACAAUAUCCAGGGAUGCUUAAAGCUUGAUGGUAGCACUGCCUGCGCAACUGUGACCCACCAAACCCAACACAGCUUCUUGACGCCUCUCCUUCUCGGAAAGAAAGAGUAGUGCAGAUGCCGUUGGGGGUGAUCCACCUCCGGCCCCCUCAACCGAAGAUCCGUCAAUUAGAUCAUACAUUGGUUCAGAUGUAUAUGAAUAUCUGGACAAACAAACAAGGGGUCUUUCUGCUCUGUCUCCAUGCUGACAGCGGGGAAUAUAUUCAUGGCACCUACACACAUCAGCGCCAGUGACUAAAAAGGAAAUGUGAUUAAAGGGCUCAGGAAAGUUCAGCAUUCCCACAGCUGCUGGCAUUUAUACAGGAAAUUACAAAGAGAUAGCUAUUUAUUUUGCAAACCCAGUGAUGGAUCAUCAGCUUAUUCAGAGGAGUAGCUCUUCGGUUGUGAAUCCUUUGCACUUUGCUCAGCUACUACUAGCACCAGCCUCUGGUGCCUGAAAAGAAAUGAUGCCUUUGUUGGAAAUAGUGUCGGAAAUUUUUGUUCAGUCCGCACUUUCAAGUGAGCUGACCUGAUUUGCAACUUUCAGACUAAUUCCUAGGCCAGAAUGCAGUUAUCCACCAGAUUUCACACUUCUAUAAGUUUUUUUGGAGGCAGUCUUUGUAGGUAUUUAUUUAUUGUGCAGAGUUGUAAACUGCUUCACAGCCAUCAGCUACCAAAGCAGCGUACCAUGAGAUAAAAAUGGAAGAAAAUACAAAACGUGAUGAACUCGGUAAGCUAAAAGCAAUAAGACCAUCUCUGCAGUUCUGCAAUGAGAAUUUAUUGGGUAUAAUGCGUACAAAAAGGUGUAUUUUAGGGGGAAAUGCAUAGAAUUGAAAUGCAAUUUUUAAUGCAUUUUUUUUUAAAAAAAAACCCAACUGCCAGGAGUAGGUGCCAGGAGCAGGUUAGCAAUAAGACACAGGGCUUCGGCUCAGGAAACCAGGCCUAUUGAGCACAGCAACUCGUUUGCAUAGUUCUUGCCCCAAUGAGGCAGCUGCAAGGACUGAAGAUUCCCUGCCUUCCCAUGGCUCCCUAAGUCUCCUCCUCCCUCGGUUCCUUCCCAAGCAAUCUGAGGCUCCUUCGUCUUGCCUGUCUUUUUGCUCUGCCCUCUUCUGAUCCUGGGAGACCAGCAGGGAGGAGAGCUGGUCUCAGCAGAAGGGGGAGUAUGCCUUGUUUCCUCACCAGCCUGACUCAUUGCUGCCUCUUGGCCCCCUCCUCUCCAGCCUCCACUUCUCUCUCUGAUUCUGGACUGCUCUCUGCCACAGCCUCUUUCUGCUCACUAAACCCUGUUACCUCUUCAGUUUCCAACACCUCCUCCUCCCAGUCUGCUUCCUCUUCUCCCUCUGACUAUCCAUCAUCAUUCCACCACCACUCCCCUGGCUCUGAGCCUUCUUCUCUUUGUGUUCCCUUAGGAGUUCCUCAGCUGGUGCUUCUCAACUCUCCCCUGCAUCCAGCUGGUCCAUGACAGCAACUGAUUGCCCUGGUCUAUAGGUCUCUAGAAAUGGUAGCAGUAGGAGGUAAAAGGAGAGGAACUGCCAUUUUGUGAAUGGAUAAAUGCAGCUGUUCAUUUACCUAGAAAUAAUGUGUUGCCUUUCAUACUCACAAUGGAACCAGGAGACAUCACGUCACCUUAGGCCUGUGCAAUGGUGACAUUUGGACCAAUUACCACCAUUCAGACACAGGGCUGCUUUUGAAGGGAGACAGAUUUUCAUUUCUUUGCUUUUCACUUGACUUCAAUGGUCCUGAAUUAGCCAGCAGAGAAGGUUUCUGAAAUGGCAAAAGGAAAUGCCUGGUUUUAACACUCACCACUCCUACUUAUAUUAUUAUUCAUUUCAUUUCUAUACCACUAUAUAUUUUUAAGAAAAAAACUCAAAGUAACCUACAUUAAAACAUCAGAUAAAACCAUCUAGAAUAAAACAUUACUGAAGAAAGUCAAAUAUAAAGUAUACAUUCAAAGCAACAUAAUUAACAGGAAACUAUUAUCUUAAAGAUGUCAAAAUAAAAACAUUACAAAGGAGGUCAACUACAGAAUGCACAUUUGACACAGCAAAGUUUUAAAAAAUUCUUAAAAUUUUCAAAAGAAAACGUAAAGGAAGUAAAAUAUAAAAUGCACAUUUAAAGCACUAUAAUUAGCAAGAGAAUAAAAUAUUAUCAUAAGCUUAGAAUACAGUAUAUCUGCUGCUGUUGCUGCCAAGGGUGGUACAUGGCGGGAGGCAGCUGUGGAAGCUCAGCCUCAGUGACCUGGGUCCGCACUGAGAAACAGCCUCUUCAGCAGCCUCAGCUUUCAUAGCUGGAGUCAGUCAGGGCCCUGCCCUCCCAGUCCAUAUAGAAAAGGACCUGCGAGGCAGGGAGCAGGUCUUCCAGGAUUCACCAGGAUUCAAGAGAGAGUGUCAGUCAGAAAGCUGGACAAUAAUUUUAACAAAGAACAUAAGAUCAACAAGAAACACUUGUAUCUGGGUAGAUACAACUAAGUCCAGUGCCACCUAGUGAUGAAACAGCAUCAUGACGCUAUCCAUAUAAUAUUAAAUACAAGGGCUCUGCAUGCCCCUUGCAGUCUGAUUCAGGGCCCAAUCCAGUUGUUCAGAACAGCCCCAAUUCAACCUAAGAUAAUUUGAGACUGACUCAAUCUGACCUGGAUCCAGGCCUUAAUCCAAAUCAGGGGCUUUGUACAUGUUUAAUUAGGGCUAAACCCCUGAUUAUACAUGGUGGGGGAAGAAGGAGAUGCAGGCAGCCUAAUUCUUCCUCUCCUCACCAUUGGACUGCUCUUUUUUUUAUAGCCUGGACCACUCCAACUUGUGGACCCAAUGCAAUCAAGGAUGAACCAGGGCUGCCUUGAACAACUCCUUGACAGUACAGUGGUACCUCUAGUUACAGACUCAGUCCAUUCUGGGAUGCCAUUCGCACCCCGAAAAGUCCGUAACUAGAGCACUGCUUCUGCGCAUGCGCACAGUGGGUUAGAGCAGUUCACACAUGUGGUAAAACCCUGAAGUAUACAUUUCCGGGUUUGCCGCAUUUGCAAGCCGAAAAGACACAACAUGAACCUAAGGAGGUAUUACUGUACUACAAUGUUUUGAGUUUUGAAUUUUUGUGUGUGUGAAUUGGGUAAGGAAUUGAAGUAUCAACCAGAAAGCCGAGAAUGUGAUCACAGCCUGUAUCCAUGACCUGUCAGGAGCCACACCCUUCCUCUGUCCCAAAUGUCAUUCAAGGGAAAAGAUGUGUGACAAUCUACCCUUCUUUUCUCUUUCACUGGAGGUUCACUCAUAGAUAAUAUUUACAACAAAAAUAUGAAUUGACCCUGAUCAACAGCACCCUUAACAUAAACAGAUGGUUUAAAUUUAAAAUCAAAAGAACCACUCUAGCUAUUACGCCACUCUGACCAAGGAGGCUGGUUAAACCAGUUACAAAAUACAAAGGUUGUAUCUGUCUUGUCCAAUCCCAUGAUGUUUCCUAACAUGGCACCAUCUCCCAUUUCUGGCCAUGGUGUAAUACUUCUGCAAAUCUGUGAAUUCUAAAUCUUCAAACAUUAGAGAAACCAAGUGCGUCAGAGCUUGGUAAGUGUCAUAAAAGCAUCUGCACAUUUUGGGGAUGUGUGUGCUUGGAUGUGUGGGCGUCUUAUUAGUAUAUGUGUUGUCGUUAUUACAGUGCUAUCCAAAACAGCACUACUUGUUUUCUCUCUGCAAGGGAUGCAUUUGUUAAAGGGCAUGUUUUCAGAUCAAACAGUAGAUCUUCACACAUUUCCAUAUAUUUACAACGUAAAUGACAGCCAACAUUCUGCAUCCAGCGUGAGAGUGAUCUUUAGCUUUCCUCGAGGGCAAUGAGCUGAUUUAUUCUGCCCAUUUGCCCUUCCCAGCCUCUGCUUUACUAACCUUUUGCCCAGUUCCAACACUAAUUGCCUCUGCAGUAGCUGGAUCAUGGGGAACUGAGUUUGAACCUGUGGAGUAGGGAGUGACAUGGAACGGACACCCAUCCUUGUUAUCUGUAUUUCAGCACCAAGUGCCCAUGGAUGAAUUGUUCCUUCUUCCUCCAGGUUGCACUCUGUCUUCUGUGAGGAAAAAAGCACGUAUUGAAAAGGGCUGUAGAGCAUUCAGAAAGUCCCAGGUUAAAUCCCUGACGUCUCCAGAUAGGACCAGGCAAAAUCUCUGUGUGAAAUUCUGGAGACCUGCUGGUUAAUGGUCUUUGGGAGAGCAAUUUUACCGCAUGUUAUGAUGGUAUAUAUGCUUUGGCUCCAAUAGAAACAAUGGGGAAAGACUAGGAUAAACAGAUAUAGAAGGUACAGUUGUGCAGGAUUUUUUUAUAAUAAUAAUAAUAAUAAUAAUAUAUUUGUACCCCGCCCAUCUGGCUAGGCUUACCCAGCCACUCUGGGCAGCUUCCAACAAAGAUUAAAAAUACGUACAUUAAAAUGUCACACAUAAAAACUUCCCUGAACAGGGCUGCCUUCAGAUGUCUUCUAAAUGUCAGGUAGUUAUUUAUCUGUUUGACAUCUGAUGGGAGGGCGUUCCACAGGGUGGGCACCACUACCGAAAAGGCCCUCUGCCUGGUUCCCUGAAACUUUGCUUCUUGCAGCGAGGGAACCGCCAGAAGGCCCUCGGUGCUGGAUCUCAGCGUCCGGGCAGAAUGAUGGGGGUGGAGAUGCUCCUUCAGGUAUACUGGGCCAAGGCCGUUUAGGGCUUUAAAGGUCAACACCAACACUUUGAAUUGUGCUCGGAAAUGUACUGGGAGCCAAUGUAGGUCUCUCAGGACCGGUGUUAUAUGGUCUCGGCGGCCGCUCCCAGUCACCAGUCUGGCUGCUGCAUUCUGGAUUAGUUGUAGUUUCCAGGUCACCUUCAAAGGUAGCCCCACGUAGAGCGCACUGCAGUAGUCCAAGCAGGAGAUAACCAGAGCAUGCACCAUUCUGGCGAGACAGUCCGCGGGCAGGUAGGGUCUCAGCCUGCAUACCAGAUGGAGCUGGUAGACAGCUGCCCUGGAUACAGAAUUCACCUGUGCCUCCAUGGACAGCAGUGAGUCCAAAAUGACACCCAGGCUGUACACCUGGUCCUUCAGGGGCACAGAAUUUUGGGGGUUUCAAGCAUAGUUUUUUAUUAACCUCCUGUACUGUCCAGCCAAUUUUGCUUAAAAUACUAAAAAAAUGUGCAAACAUGGUAGUUAUGAUCAGAUACCUAUCCCAAACAUUUUUCGGCUUUUCAGGAAGGUGGAAGAUACUUGCUAGCUGGUCGUGUGAGUACAACAGAACAUCUAAGCAUGCGUAGGGAUAAAUGGUGUAAAUCCACAGGCAUUGCCAUGGAGGAAAACCGUUAAAACAUUUUUGUAAAUAAAGAAAGGAAAAGGAAAAGGAAAAGGAAAAGGAAAUCAGUAAAACGUGGUGUUCGAACAUGGAGAAAACAGGAGACCAGGAAUGCACAGUUGGCUCCCUGUAGGUGACACUCAUCAUUCAAAGGAACAGAGUUCUUUGUUGCACUUCAAAGAGUGGGUUUUUGCAGGGAAAGCUUUGGGACAAAAACGGGGAGGCACUUGGACACAGAUCUGUGCCUGGAAAAAGUGGGGCAAAAUGUAAUUGUAGAUAAGCCCCCAGUUUGCUUUUAAAUGCAAAAGUACCUAAUGAGCACUUUAAAAGAAAUUACUUUGCAAACUGAAAUACAUAUCCUUUGAAAUCCACAAUUCUCUGAAUUUUGUAGUUCAGGACUCCAGUGAAGCAAUGUGUACAGAAAUAUACCCCAGUAAAAUGUGCAUAAAAAUGCAUAUAUUCAUGAAAAUAUAUCAGAGAAAAAUACUUCACAAAACCAUGCAUGUUAGGCAAAAUUGCAUACAAAAUUGUCCAUAUAUUAGGAGAAAUUUGAAUUUUCAUGAUGGCUACUUUAAAACAAAAAUUCCGCAUACUGAUGUGGAAAUGUGAAAAGCUGGACGUAAGCAUGGAAAAAUACAAAAUGGGGAGAAACAUGAACUGUCAAAUCUACCCAUCCCUAAUCGCAGCUCCCAGAACAUGAGCAUUGAAUGUUCCACUACUAUGUCUAAAGACAGGCCUCUCCUGUUCACACUCAGCAGUGUUUGCCAGCACAUCAUUUGGGUUUAUCAUGUAAGAUGCACAUUGGCUCUGAGUGAGGGAGGCAUUUUCAUAGUUUUUCCUUCUUCACUUCAAGGCUCCUGGCAGCCUGGAGUUGAGCUCGAACGUGUCUCAUCCAUCAUUCACUGGCGGGAUGGGGGAUUAUGUGACCAGAGGGACAAGGGGAGUGAAAGACAGGCAUGCAGAUGGUGAAGGGAAAACUGUCAAGAUGACAAUCUGGCUAUGAAGGAAUAGCAGUAAGAAGAAUCUCUGGAAGAAGUCAGUCUGAUAUACACUCUUCCUAUGCAAAUGCUUUCAGGGAUUGCUUUUGGGAUAGUCGUGAGGGGGUUAAACAGUUUUAAGAUUAUUGCAAGGAAAUAAAUAGGCGCCUACCAGAAUCUGUAGCAACGCUGACGAGGAUUUGGAGCUGGGUAAGGAAUACAAAUGAUAGAGCCAUUAGAAGAGAGGCCAGUUUUUGCUAGGGCUUGUGUAAUGUACUCAAUAAAGCCAGUUUAAAAAAAAAAUCACUUCUUGGUUUGCUGGAUUUACAAAAGCAUGACUAUUUCUGGCAUCAUCUGCUGCAUCCUGAUGGUUUUUAGAGAUGACACUUAGAAAGGAAAGUGUGUGGUUUAAAAAGACAUGUGGCAAGAGAAUAAGAGAGUAACUGGGACCCCCAGACAUCAGCUACACAACAUGCUAUUUAAUAAUAAACACUGAACUAAUUUGUACUCACAAGCUGAUCUGCUGGCUUCCCACUUCUUUCGGAGUUCAUUCACUCAUGCCAGGGCUUGAGGUCUUUUACAGCUGGGUCUAGUGAAUGAAAGGUGUGUUUGUUGGUUGUUGGUUGUAGAAUGGAAGGGAAGAGCCCCAGAUCCUGCUGUGGUUAAGGGCACUUUCAAAGCAUCUGUGAGAAAGUGGGGCAGAAUCAAUUACAGACCACCUUUGUGCACCCUGUUUAGGGGUUGCUCUUCAUCUGCCAGGAGCCAGGACAGUAGUAAUGCCUCUAUAUGGGUAUAUAGUUAGCAUAAGGAUACAUUAGCCAAGUUUUCCACAAAUAUUUUGGUGGAAGAUUCCAGUGAUUUUAGCUUCCAUGCUAUGAUUUUUACACCCAAGUUCUUCCAAGGUUGUAUUCCCCAUAGCUGUCAACUUACAGAUUUGAAAAUAAGGGACCAGCAGCCUUGAAAAUAAGGGACCAGCAGCCAAAAUAAGGGACCUGCAGCCUCACCUGUUCCAGGCACUCCAGUCUUCCUGUUCUCCUGCAGUCUGGUCAAACUCAUGCUCAUAGCUUCGAGAACACUGUCCAACCAACUUUGUAACCAGAGGUUCAAGUGAAUAGAAUCUGAAUCACAUGCACCACAAGGCCUAUGCAGCCUCAUCUUAAGAUGGCUCCCCAGCCUGGCUUUGCACUGCAAAGUUUGCAGCAGCACGUGCAACAAAAUGGCGCCCAGCAUUCAAAAACCCCUCAGCUUGCAUUAACUAGCCACACACAAGGCAUGCAAGCUCCACCCCCCAUCGUUCUUAGACUUCUUAUUGGGUGAGCAACACAGCCAAGCAACACAGUUGGAGCCUCCCUCCUCCCUGGCCGGCAGGGAGGGAGGGAGAGGAGCUGCUUCCUUUGAAAUUUAAGGGACAUUUAAGGGACAUCCAUCAAUAAGGGACAGCAGCGGGACAUGGCGCUGGAAUAAGGGAUUGUCCCUUCAAAUAAGGGACACUUGACAGCUAUGGUAUUCCCUUCCCACUCCAUGGGAGGAGGGGUGCUAUCUUUUGCCAUAUUGGGAAGAGAUGAUAAAAAGGAGCUUCUGCUGUUUGUGUAAAGCUGCAUGGAUCAGUCUAGGUCUAGGAACCCAAACAGUAGGAUUUAGAGGCUGUAUUCUCUGCACUGCCAUGAUAGCUUGGCCAGAGAAUAGAGCUACUUGUUUGCUCUCUGCUGUGCUUCAGAACUUACAUUGCAGAAUGUCAAGGGUAAUGUUGCAGCUACAAGAAAAGCUGGGACCAUGUGGUGCAAGAAGCCAAUAGGUUAUUCUUGGCUGCUUCCUUGGUUUAAGUAACUUGUUCUUCUCAGGUGAUGGAUGAAGGGCUAUAGCUCAGUGGUAAAACAUCUGCUUUGCAGGUAGAAGGUCUCAGGUUCAAUUCAUGGCAUCUCCAAGGAGGACUGGGAGAGACGAACCCAGUGAUCUGACUCAGUGCAAUGCAGUUUCCUAUGUCCUUAGACUUGCAGUCCACCAGUCAGAGACAUGGGAAGCUACCAUAUAAGGGGGGAAACAGCAGAGUAGAAGAUGACUCGGAUUUUAUUUUUGUUUCUCCAUCCCAACUGCACGGUUUCCUAAAAGCCAUUAAAUUACAAGAGAGCUUAGGCACCGAGACCUCUGCUUUGCACUCCGGUUUGCAUGUAGAUGCUAGUGAGUCCACAGGGAGUUCAGACUAGAGAGUAAAUUUGGGCUGACUCAGUAAAGAGGGUUUAGUUGAGAGCUGAUAGCAAUAAGGGGCUCAGUCUAGAAGUACAGGGAGCACAAGACUCAUGGGUAAUGAAAGCCAGUAAGCAAGAUCUCUACCAUGAGAUAUAAUAGUGGGGGGAAAUCACCAUGAUAGGAGGAACCUUUUAUGAAUCAAAUCCACCUUACACAGAGGAUGAGAUAAAGACUCUGGUGUGCUUACCUGAACAAGUAUGUCAAGAUUCAACUGUUAAUCAAAUGUUCAGUAAAUCUUUCAGGUGAGCACAGUGUCAAAGGGACAGCUUGUCAAGGUAGGUCAAUUGUAAUCCUAAUAUUCCAUGACAGCACCCCAUCAAUCUAAAUUAAGGAUCACGAGUUGCUUGCUAAUUACGCCUAUUAGGAACGGUUUUGACACACUCAACCAAUCAACGUCACGGGUACUUCCUGCAUGCACAUGAGGAAUGACAAUUGUGUCAAGAGUUUUGUGGAGCAAAAAAAGACCCAUUUCCUGCGUUUUUUUCUGGGUGCAUUUGUUCUUGGUGAGGCCUUUUCAAAACUAGACAACGGAAAUCUAAGCUAGGGUGCCAUGCAUCCUACUUUACAGAGGGCAGUCCCCUGUUUGAAGUAGUCCUCCAUUUGAAGGGCUGUCCAGCCCAGGUCUGGUUUAAAGAAGAAUCAUAAGAUGCCGAAAUGGCCCGACCAUCAUUAGCCCCUGGGCAGCAGAUUGAGCAGGCACACAGGUGAUGUGGUCCCAGACUUCCCCACGAUGAUGAGAUGUGCUGUAUUUCUAUAUAAAUCCCAGGGACCAUUUAUAAAUUUUGUUCAGCGCUGCAUAUUUCACGCAAAUAUGUAUCCUCCUUUGUCCCACCCAUCCUGUUUCUCUGGGGUGAUGCAUUUCUUUAUCUGGCAAUAUGCGAGUGCCCCCCAAUCUAGGAAUCCUAAUCAAGAACAGAGAGGGAGUGUAGUUUGCAUAACAGCUGUGAGCUGAACACAGAACUGAGAGCACAUUAUGAUCAGGAUGACGCCCUUCCAAUAAUAGCAGAAUCUACUCUUUAAACUAAAUGGUUGUGGGUAUGAUAGGGAGAGAAAGCUGUUCACCUGACCAAUAUGACAGGUUUAGAGGUUGAAACCUUGCCUGGGCCUAUUUAACUUGGGAUGGCAACACAUGAACUUUCAGUAACCUCUGAUUUGUUCAAAGGCAAAUCAGGGAUAGAAAUUUGUCUAAGAUCCUUGACCAAAAAAGGGACUAUCUACAUUGCUAAUCUUUAUGGGCCCAUGGGCAUGUUUAGAAUUUUGAGAGAGUGCUUAGUCAUGCUGUCCACAUGACCCGGAAGCUGUACGCUGGCUCCCUCGGCCAAUAAAGCAAGAUGAGCGCCGCAACCCCAGAGUCGGCCACGACUGUACCUAAUGGUCAGGGGUCCCUUUACCCUUUACCUUUAAUGGGCCCACACCUCUGGCUGCUUCUCUUCCCCUCCCCUGGGUCACUCUGCCUGACACAUGGAGAGAGAAAGCACACAUUCACAAACACACAUGUGUAUUCACUUACACACUCUGCUUUUUGUGGGGUCUGGGUAAAAGUCAGAUCCAGUAGAAUUAAAAGGGACCCUCUUUUGUAUGAUUUGACAGAGUCCUUUCCCCCAAUAUGACAAGCGGCAUGCCAGUUUUACUCAGAGCACAACCCUUGAAAUCAAUGAUUCUAGUUGAGGAAACUGUAAACUUUCCAGUGUUUCAGGACCACAGAUCCCAACGUCCUUGCUCAUGGUGGCUUGGCCUAAUGAGUGGUGCCGUCCAACAAAUAUCUAGGGGGUUUACCACCCCUGUUCUGGAACAAUAACUACAUAAAAGUGGGGAAAUGAAAAUGGGUCUGGUUGUCACAUGGAAGAUGGAGCAAGCUUGUUUUCUCCUGCUCUGGAGGGUAGGAUAUGAACCAAUGGAUUCAAGGUACAAGAAAGGAGAUUCCGAAUAAACAACAGUAAGAACUUUCUGACAGUAAGGGCUGUUAGAGAGUGGAACAGAUUCCCACAAGAGGUGGUGGGCUCUCCUUCCUUGGAGGUUUUUAAUUAGAGGUUGGAUGGCCAUCUGUCAUGGAUGCUUUAGUUGAGAUUCCUGCUGGACUAAUGACCCUCUGGGUCCCUUCUAACUCUACAAUUCUAUGAUUCUAUGAUGAGUUCAUGUAUUAAGCCAUUGUCACAAAUAGUUUCUAGUCUAAUAAUGGUCUAACAAUGGUCAGUUAUACAUGGGGGAGGGGAAUUGCAUUUGGUUAACUCUGUAUUGCUGUGUGAUAUCCACAUUUAGCGCAGGAAUGAUGAACCUGUGGACCUCCAGAUGUUUUCAGAUUCCAACUCCCAUCAGCCCCAGCCAGCAUUGCCAAGGCUCAGGGAUGGUGGGAGUUUUAAUCUAGCAACAUCUGGAGGGUUGCAGGUUCCUCAACCCUUCUCUAACAGAUCAUGCAGAAAGCAUACUAAAAAAAUUUUAAUCAGACCAGACAUAAACUCAAACAGUUCUCAAAGGAAAUGGGGAAAUGAUGAGACAUUGAAAGUUUUGUGAACUGAAACAGCUUUAUUUUGUGGUUUUUUUGCUUGUCCAUUCCUUACAUCGACAGAUGCUGCCUGCAGCUGCAAUUUGUGUGUGGUCACAGGGGGGUAUUUGCGCACGGUUGAAAUUCAAUUUUUAUGGAGCAGACUUUGCCACUCGCCCACUAUCCAACCAAUAUUUUCCUGUUCAUUUGCGGUAUGUUUACUGAAUAUACACUGCACAAAAUCAAUCCCAGAGUGUCUCUAUGUGGCGUCAAUUUGAGGACAACUUCAAUCAUGUGAAAAUACUCUGAGAGCCUGUGGUAAAAUUGAAAAGGGGGGGGAGGGGAGAGAGAGAGAAAAAGAAGUUUUUUUGAAGCCAUCACUAAUACCUUAGCCACAAAGCUAUAUUCUUUAAACCUAGAUUUAUAUAUCCUAAGCCCCUUCUAUCAUCAUUAAUGUCUCUGCAGAAAGGGAGAAAGAACACAAUUGAAUUGCUAGAAAAGCUAAUUUCUAUGAACUGAAAAGCUACCAACUAAAUUGUGUGUGUGUAUCCUGCUUGUUAGCCAAAAAGAGACUCCCAGAGCAACUUACAAAUCACUAAAAAAAGAGAGAGGAUAGUCCUUGUCCUCAGGAUUACAAUAUAAAAAGCCACAACAUAAAAGGAAAAUAAGUUGUGAGGAAGGAGGAAAUAAGAAAACACAGGCUCAAUUUCUUAGUUAAAAGUUAUUUGAAUGGCAUUGGCAGCUGGGAUGGGAAAGGUCAAAACCUCCUUUAUUGGAGAGGUUGGAUGGCCAUCUGUCAUGGAUGCUUUAGCUGAGAUUCCUGCAUUGCAGGGGGUUGGACUAGAUGACCCCCAGGGGGCUUCCAACUCUACAAUUCUAUGGUUCUAAGGCACAAAACACUGCUAGUCUUUGAGAUGCGCCAGAGGAGCAGCCCUGCAUUCCAUCUCUUCAUUUCUGCAGCCUGACGUAAUAAUGGAUGCUUGGCCAGGUUAGAGCAGGUGGAUAAAGGAGCCUAGUUUCUUAGCAGUGGGUGAUGGCCCUUCUCUGCUGCAGCUCGAUGUAAGGACUGCUGUCAGGUCAUGACAAAUUCUGGAAUUGCUUUCAUUUGCAUUCUGCUAUCUAAACAUAGAGUGCACAGUGCACGGCGCAGGAGUUUUUCUUAGGGACUGUUAGCUAAGCUCGUUGCUUCUCUUGCACACACAUUGGAUGUGCCCAGAAAAACCUGCAACCGAAAGCUGCUUGGAUUCAUUUCUAGUUUUUAGUCUGUCCCCGAUUUGUCUCACACAAAUUGCAUUCUGUAUUGUUUCAUGUUUCAGUUUGGCCUUGGAGUUCAGAACGAAGCAGGGCAAAGGCUAAUAGAGUUCUGCCAAGAGAACAAGCUGGUCAUCACAAACACUCUUUUCCAACAACACAAGAGACGACUCUACACAUGGACAUCACCAGAUGGGCAGCAUCGAAAUCAGAUUGAUUAUAUUCUCUGCAGCCAAAGAUGGAGAAGCUCUAGACAGUCAGCAAAAACAAGACCUGGAGCUGACUGUGGCUCAGAUCAUCAGCUUCUUAUAGCAAAAUUCAAGCUUAAACUGAAGAAAGUAGGAAAACCACUGGGCCGGUAAGAUACAAUCUAAGUCAAAUCCCUUAUGAAUACGCAGUGGAAGUGAGGAACAGGUUUAAGGAUUUAGAUUUGGUGGACAGAGUGCCUGAAGAACUAUGGAUGGAGGCUCGUAACAUUAUACAGGAGGCAGCAACUAAAACCAUCCCAAUGAAAAGGAAAUGCAAGAAAGCAAAGUGGCUGUCCAACGAGGCCUUACAAAUAGCGGGGGAGAGAAGGCAAGCAAAAUGCGAGGGAGAUAGUGAAAGAUACAGGAAAUUGAAUGCAGAUUUCCAAAAAUAGCAAGGAGAGACAAGAAGGCCUUCUUAAACGAGCAAUGCAAAGAAAUAGAGGAAAACAAUAGAAUGGGAAAAACCAGAGAUCUGUUCAAGAAAAUUGGAGAUAUGAAAGGAACUUUUUGUACAAAGAUUGCCAUAAUAAAAGACAAAAGUGGAAAGGACCUAACAGAAGCAGAAGACAUCAAGAAGAGGUGGCAAGAAUACACAGAGGAACUAUACCAGAAAGAAAUGGAUGUCUCGUAUACCCCAGGUAGUGUGGUUGCUGACCUUGAGCCAGACAUCCUGGAGAGUGAAGUCAAAUGGGCCUUAGAAAGCACUGCUAAUAACAAGGCCAGUGGAAGUGAUGAUAUUCCAGCUGAACUAUUUAAAAUUUUAAAAGAUGAUGCUGUUAAGGUGCUACACUCAAUAUGCCAGCAAAUUUGGAAAACUCAGCAGUGGCCAGAGGAUUGGAGAAGAUCAGUCUACAUCCCAAUCCCAAAGAAGGGCAGUGCCAAAGAAUGCUCCAACUACCGCACAAUUGCACUCAUUUCACACGCUAGCAAGGUUAUGCUUAAAAUUCUACAAGGCAGGCUUAAGCAGCAUGUGGACCGAGAACUCCCAGAAGUGCAAGCUGGAUUUCGAAGGGGCAGAGGAACCAGAGACCAAAUUGCAAACAUGCGCUAGAUUAUGGAGAAAGCUAGAGAGUUCCAGAAAGACAUCUACUUCUGCUUCAUUGACUAUGCAAAAGCCUUUGACUGUGUUGACCACAGCAAACUAUGGCAAGUUCUUAAAGGAAUGGGAGUGCCUGAUCACCUCAUCUGUCUCCUGAGAAAUCUCUAUGUGGGACAAGAAGCUACAGUUAGAACUGGAUAUGGAACAACUGAUUGGUUCAAAAUUGGGAAAGGAGUACGGCAAGGCUGUAUAUUGUCUCCCUGCUUAUUUAACUUAUAUGCAGAAUUCAUCAUGCGAAAGGCUGGGCUGGAUGAAUCCCAAGCCAGAAUUAAGAUCGUCGGAAGAAAUAUCAACAACCUCAGAUAUGCAGAUGAUACAACCUUGAUGGCAGAAAGUGAGGAGGAAUUAAAGAACCUUUUAAUGAGGGUGAAAGAGGAGAGCACAAAAUAUGGUCUGAAGCUCAACAUCAAAAAAACGAAGAUCAUGGCCACUGGUCCCAUCACCUCCUGGCAAAUAGAAGGGGAAGAAAUGGGGGCAGUGAGAAAUUUUACUUUCUUGGGCUCCAUGAUCACUGCAGAUGGUGACAGCAGUCACGAAAUUAAAAGACGUCUGCUCCUUGGGAGAAAGGCGAUGGCAAACCUAGACAACAUCUUAAAAAGCAGAGACAUCACCUUGCCAAAAAAGGUCCGUAUAGUAAAAGCCAUGGUUUUCCCAGUACAGUGGUGCCUCGCAAGACAAAAUUAAUCCGUUCCACGAGUCUCUUCAUCUUGCGGUUUUUUCGUCUUGCGAAGCAUGGCUAUUAGCGGCUUAGCAGCUUAGCGGCUAUUAGCGGCUUAGCGGCUAUUAACGGCUUAGCGGCUUAGCGGCUAUUAACGGCUUAGUGGCUUAGCGGCUUUAAGAAAAAGGAAACAAACUCGCAAGAACUCGCAAGACGUUUCGUCUUGCGAAGCAAGCCCAUAGGGAAAUUCGUCUUGCGGAACGACUCAAAAAACGGAAAACUCUUUCGUCUAGCGAGUUUUUCAUCUUGCGAGGCAUUCGUCUUGUGGGGCACCACUGUAGUGACAUAUGGAAGUGAGAGCUGGACCAUAAAGAAGGCUGAUCGCCAAAGAAUUGAUGCUUUUGAAUUAUGGUGCUGGAGGAGACUCUUGAGAGUCCCAUGGACUGCAAGAAGAUCAAACAUAUCCAUUCUUAAGGAAAUCAGCCCUGAGUGCUCACUGGAAGGACAGAUCGUGAAGCUGAGGCUCCAAUACUUUGGCCACCUCAUGAGAAGAGAAGACUCCUGGAAAAGACCCUGAUGUUGGGAAAGAUUGAGGGCACAAGGAGAAGGGGACGACAGAGGACGAGAUGGUUGGACAGUGUUCUCGAAGCUACCAGCAUGAGUCUGACCAAACUGCGGGAGGCAGUGGAAGACAGGAGUGCCUGGCGUGCUCUGGUCCAUGGGGUCACGAAGAGUUGGACACGACUAAACAACUAAACAACAACAAUUGUUUCAUGCAAAUUGCACACAAAAGCUGAUCACUCCCCUUCUGGAAAUGCCAGGUAUCUUUGCUAAAGGUCAGCAGCCUCAAUAAGCCUCUCUCCCUAAUGAAGGGAAAAGCCUAACUAGCAAAUUUGUAAUAGCUCCAUUGCUACCCUUUGCUAAUAUUGCUGCUUGGUGCCAGUAAGUUCCUAUAGGAAAUUAGUUUGGGGUCCUAUGCAUUUCAGAUGUAAACACCAAAUGGACACAGGAAAAACUUAAGAUUGCUUGAAUCCAGCUAGGUCAGUCUUCCCUAGCCCUGUGCCCUCCAGAUGUUUUAUACCACUGGCUGGGGCAAUGGAAAUGGGAUGUUUUAAUGGGGAAGAGAGAGACUGGCAGAGCUGGCUCUGAUCACUGUGCCGCCGCCACCUUCUGCCCUGGCCACUUUGCAUGCUAUGGAUGAGGCAGCAGACUCACCUGUCCAGCCCUGCCAAGGAGCCACCAAGGUUAGGACUGCAGCCUAAAGCAUUAAUAAAACAGCUUCACUCUAUCUCUGCCACCAACAGUGCAACCCUAUGCUUGCCUGCUCAGAAAUGUUCCCAUUGAGUUCACUCCCAAGUAAAUCCAUGUGAGAUUGCAGUCUAAGUGGCGGAGCAUAUAUCAGGAAGCUGGGCAGUGCAGGCAAGCAAAAUGAGUGCCUCUUGGUUAGAAAACCCCAGCCCUUUUCCAGGGACGAUGUCUUUGAUCCAACGUGAUGGUGAAAACUCACAUGGACUGCAAGUCUGUCAGAAGAAUUUGUCUGAAGUUGCCUACUUAACAGUGACCCAAUUAAAAAGUAGAUGAAACACACUGAGGUAAGUGGGAAAGAAAGAAGCUCAUUUGAAUCGGAUUAGUACAAUUAGCCAAUGUCCCCGGGAUUGUUUGCAGAGCUGUCUGUCAGGAUGGCCUUAAGGAGGGAUGUUAAAAUAUACAGAGGGCAUCUUAAUAUGGAAAUCAUGUGCCCUUACAACCAAGACAGAUUUUGAACACCUCAUAUUUCACAACCAGGUUUGUAUUAUGUGGCUGAGGCAAUUGAAGACUGCAAUUUUUCUUUCUGCAGCACUAAUAACUAGGAAGGAAGAGGAGGAGGUUCGGCUGGUGGAGCCUGCGCCAAUUAACAGGACCCUCGUGGUCGUCUUUGACAUCCCGACAUCGAAGGAGAGAUGAAAAAAAGUUACGAGGUUGUUAAGAUUCAGGUUUGUUUCAUAUUUCUACUUGUCAGGCAAGUAGGCCAGAAAUUUCACUCCUGUUUUCUUCCCCUCUGACGACGACAGCGGCUUUGAAAAGCAUCCGCCUCGCCUUUGAGAGUGCUGAUAUCUGCAAGCCCUCUGGUGGGAUUGUAGCAGCUAAUUGCCUGGGACUGACUGCACUGAAAGGAAAGGCAGGCGAAGAUUGCGGUGCUGUUACUUACAAGGAAAUAACAGGCAAAAAAAAUUAAAAGGGUGGCGGGGAGAUGGAAAGGAUGGCCUGGGAAAAGAAAAGAAAAGAAAAAGAGAUCAGCUUUGGAAACUCAAAAAACAGCAAUGCGCCUUCCCCUACUUCCCCAUUUUCUCCAGCUACAGUUCAAUCAAUAUAUACAGGGACUCAACAGCAUCCAUUUUGAAGAGGCAGUCUUCAAAAGGGCUUAAGACAUCCUGGGGUUUUCUGGGCUGCAGAAGUGCCAACAUUGUCCGAUCCAGCAUCCCACCCAGGUGUCAAGGAACUAUUGUGAAAUGUGGAAUUACAACACUGUGUAUCAGGGCUGUCCCCGCAGGAAGGCUAAAUUAAUAGUUCCUGUCAUAUUUAGGCAUAAAUAAGGGAAAACAAAUGGUGAAAUGCCCCCUGCUUCCACCACAAGCCCAGCAGGGAUUUGGGUUUUGUGGUGCCUCAACUUUGGGUUUUCCUUCCUCCUCCCACUUUGGAUUGCUUUGGCAGUGAAACAUUUAAUGAAGUUACCUAUAAGAAGAAGGGAUUUCAAACUUUGCUCAAGAAUGAUUCCAUCUAGCUUGACCAAAGCUAUAGUGGACCAUACUUCAUGAAGAUUGUCAUGGACAGAGUUGAGUUUACACUUCAGAGUAAGGAUGGAAGUAUCUGUCAAUAGCAGGUCUCUCAGUUUCUCAUUUUUCCAAACUUAAAUUCAGUUCUCCACACCUGUGCAGCAAUUAAUUUGCAUUUUUUUAAAAAAGACAAUCUCAUGAAAAUUUGAUAGCAUUUCAGUGUGAAUUUCCCCUAAUAAAAACUUUUUUUUUCCUGUAUGCUGUUUUAACUACACACUGCUUUACCCUGGCUUUUGACACCUGAGGUGCACAUAUUUACGACCCACCCUAUGUUUGCAAUCGAAAGUCACUUUAUGUUGUUUUUAACUUUGUACAUUAUUUGCUGCAACCCACCCUGGCACGUAAGGGUGAAGGGCAGGUAAUUAAUUAAAAUAAUAAAUAAAUGCAUGCAUUUUUGCCAAAAGUUGCCCUAAUAUGCAUUUUUACACGUUAUUUUCACUAUUAUAUUCAUUUGUGCACACUUUUCUUUAAUAUAUGUGCAUUUUUGUAAACAUUGGUUCGUUAGAGAACUGCAUCAAAACAUUCAGAUAAGUGUGAAUUUUGAAGAAUGGCUUGUUUUCAUUCUCGUGUUGUUUCAGAAAUUUGAUAGAGUUGCCUUUAAAUGCAAACUGAAUUGAAUUUCUUCCCCCAUCCCUACUCCAGAGGGUGGUCUAAGAGUUAAUUGCCACCUGUUGCCCUUUUGUAGUCACUUCAUUCCCUAGAAAUUGCCCACAGCUGCUUCCAUAACAUGAAAAUCACCUACAGCUCCAACAUUUAUUAGCUCCAUCACAUCAAGCAGCACAUAUCAGACUGUAAACAAUCACUCACAAUCCUUAGCUGACUCACAUCUUGUUUUUCUCCAUGCAUGUGUGGGUGGAAUAAUGUCUUUAACCACUUCUCAAUCAUAGGUGGACAGCCUCUGAAAUCUCCCAUUGUUUUAAAGAGCAAGCUUCCAGUCUCGGCAAACUUUGAUCUAACUUCCAUCGAUCCUAUUCUCCAUUUUGCUGAAGUUUAUGGCAUGAUUCCACCCUAAAAUGCCUGUGUGGCAAAAGAGGGAAUAGCUACUCCGCUUGCUUCUUUCCCUUUUUGCAUCACUCCAGGAAGCAACACCAGUGAUGCUAAAAUAAUAUGGUGAAGGAGGAGAAGGUUGAAGCCACAAUCUGCCGCCCCCCCACCCCUCCAAAAAAUCUUUGCAGAUUGGCACAGAGGAAUGAGGCUUUUCUCCCGCUAUGAAUGUCUCCCAAG
This 23155-nucleotide long non-coding RNA is filed under the name Podarcis lilfordi (Lilford's wall lizard). Lineage: Eukaryota; Metazoa; Chordata; Lepidosauria; Squamata; Lacertidae. The record is from RNAcentral.